AUGAGGAGGAGGGAGGGUGCAACAUCACUAGGCAGCAGCACAAGCACCCUGGCAGCACCCUUUGGGGACAUCCCUCCCUUGGCAAGAAAGGAGCCCAAGUCUCGGCCCUUCUCGUCUCCAGCAGCUCGCUGCUUCCCACUGCGCAGCCAGGCAGGAGGCGGCUGUGGCUCGGCGCGGCUCUACUCGGCUGCAGGGGGCUCCCCAGUGCCGUGCUGCUCGGCACCGUAUGGGCUCUCGACUGCAGAACUGCAGGGCAUUCCCCCCACGCAAGACUUCCACGCAGAGAAGCAUCUCCCUUACCCAUACGUAUUCCCGCACUGUGAUUUCCCAAGGAAAGAAGAGGUCGAUAAUGGAAAGCCUACAAUAGCCCCCUCCCUUGCCUUGUCUACAGCCCGCCCGGGGAGAAGAGAGAUUUCAGCUUUCCUGGAAAAGCGCUGUGUGCGCAGAGCUGCAUCCCUGUGUCCGCAGAGCCGUGCUCGUAAUCAGUCUCAGCCACUACAACUUGAUGGCACCCGGCAACUCCGUGCCUUUAUUUAGGCACAACAUCCAUGAUAUGAGGACAUCUCUAAUCAAACACAUCAACCAAGAUAACUUUGUCAAAGACGUUGUUAGAGUCUCUAGUUCCUCAUGCUUCUCUGGAUCUAUGCGCCUAGAAGAUAUAUUCUCAAAAGUAGCUUCAAGAAUGGUUUUAAAGAACCGUGCUACAGUGAAUUUAUCCUGUUUCAGUUCAAUAACAGAUAGCUGUUAUUUGCAUCUCCACUGUACUGGAUGUGGAAACCAGGUGAGUAAUAUUUGUUCCUAACUUUAAUCCACUAGGCCAUAAAACUUCUCAAAAUAGCAAGCACAUUUGCUCUGGGAACCAUGGUCAACAGGCAGAUGACUGGUGCUGUAGCUAAUGACUGUACUAUGUCCUUGACCUUGUUAAUGCUGAGUGUACUGCCUUUUACCACUGCUAGACAAGCCAUGCAAUGCUUAGACAAGAACUACAAGGCAAUUCAGAAUCAAAACCUCUAACUACUGAUACACUGAGAAAGGAUAUCAUUCCCACAAACAAUGCUGAAAGAAAGUGGUAAUUCUGGGAAUAGCAGCACAACACAUAGCAGUAAUUGCAGUGAUAAGGCACUCUGUACUUCUAUGUGAGUAUUUGGGGGGCAGAGGCAGAGCUCACCACUGCUUUCCAACAGAGAAAGCCUAUUUGUGAACAUGUUCAGACCUAUUCAGUCUGCUUUUCUUGUUGUAUAAUUACUGUUUACCUCCCUGAGUUACAUCCUCUUUAAUAGGCAGUAUCAUUACAAUGGCUUUCUCUCAUAUACAGUGAAAGACAGCAAGAAACAAUCACCCAUUGUUUUUAUUAGGAUUAGUUCAGCUCUGGGAGAGCAGCAACACAGCUAUAGUUAUGUUCUCUGCCAGUUCUAUUUAUACACUAUCAAACAGAACACUUUCCCUUGUAGCUUGUCUUCUUUCCAUGUAUUACUGAAUGCCUAAUGCCUAGUGUCUAGACAAUAAGAUCCUAGUACAAAAGUUUUUGACCUUUUGCAUUUUAUAUAUUCUAAAUAAAUAACCAAAUAAAAAUCCUAAUGGAACUGCA
RNAcentral lists this long non-coding RNA (1588 nucleotides) under Coturnix japonica (Japanese quail). RNAcentral describes it as "lncRNA (ENSCJPG00005020250.1)". The record is from RNAcentral. Lineage: Eukaryota; Metazoa; Chordata; Aves; Galliformes; Phasianidae.